CACUUCCCGCAAAGGCUGAGUGUUGACAGGACCGAAAAGAAGUAGGGAAGCGUCCGAGUUCACGCUGGCGAGAAAAGCUGCUAAGGAGAGUGUGAGUGCCCGUACCGGAAACCGACGCAGGUGGGCGAGGAGAGAAUCCUGAGACGGACGGGAGAACUCUUGUUAAGGAACUCGGCAAAAUGACCCCGUAACUUCGGGAGAAGGGGUGCCUCGAAAGAGGCCGCAGAGAAUAGUCACAAGCGACUGUUUAGCAAAAACACAGGUAUCUGCGAAAGCGAGAGUUGACGUAUAGGUGCUGACGCCUGCCCGGUGCUGGAAGGUUAAGGGGAAGUGUUAGGGGAAACCCGAAGCAGAGAACCGAAGCCCCAGUAAACGGCGGCCGUAACAAUAACGGUCCUAAGGUAGCGAAAUUCCUUGUCGGGUAAGUUCCGACCCGCACGAAUGGCGUAACGACUUGUGAGCUGUCUCAACAGGAGGCCCGGUGAAAUUGAAGUAUGUGUGAAGAUGCACAUUACCCGCGACUGGACGGAAAGACCCCGUAGAGCUUUACUGUAACCUGACAUUGGAUCUUGAUAACGGAUGCACAGGAUAGGUGGGACGCUGGGAGACGAGGACUUUGGUUUUUCGUGGAGCGGCCGUUGGGAUACCACUCUUCUGUUAUUGAGAUUCUAACCUCAAGCCGUGAGCCGGAUGAGAGACAGUGUCAGGCGGACAGUUUGACUGGGGCGGUCGCCUCCGAAAGAGUAACGGAGGCGCCCAAAGGUACCCUCAGAAUGGAUGGAAACCAUUCGAAGAGAGCAAAGUCAGAAGGGUGCUUGACUGCGAGACCAACAAGUCGAGCAGGUACGAAAGUAGGGCUUAGUGAUCCGGCGGUAAGAGAGUGGAAUUGCCGUCGCUCAACGGAUAAAAGCUACCUCGGGGAUAACAGGCUGAUCUCCCCCAAGAGUUCACAUCGACGGGGAGGUUUGGCACCUCGAUGUCGGCUCGUCGCAUCCUGGGGCUGAAGCAGGUCCCAAGGGUUUGGCUGUUCGCCAAUUAAAGCGGCACGCGAGCUGGGUUCAGAACGUCGUGAGACAGUUCGGUCCCUAUCCAUCGUGGGCGAAGGACACAUGAGAGGAGCUGCUCCUAGUACGAGAGGACCGGAGUGGACGCAUCACUGGUGCAACUGUUGUCGUGCCAACGGCACAGCAGGGAAGCGAAAUGCGGACGGGAUAAACGCUGAAGGCAUCUAAGCGUGAAGCCCACCUCAAGAAUAAGUGUCCCAUUCGAAAGAAGUAAGACCCCUGGAAGACUACCAGGUGAUAGGUCAUCGGUGAAAGAGUGGUAACAUUUGGAGCUUGAUGAUACUAAUCGGUCGAGGACUUGA
RNAcentral lists this ribosomal RNA (1366 nucleotides) under metagenome. Its description in RNAcentral is "bacterial LSU rRNA". It matches the Rfam family "Bacterial large subunit ribosomal RNA", at positions 1541 to 2925 of the family's 2925-position model. The record is from RNAcentral.